Molecule: long non-coding RNA, 2958 nt
Organism: Schistocerca nitens (vagrant locust)
Lineage: Eukaryota; Metazoa; Arthropoda; Insecta; Orthoptera; Acrididae
Exons: 3
Source: RefSeq, a predicted model, not a curated record
GCCGCAUCUCUGGCAUUGUGUGUUCUCCAACUGCAGUACGCAAGAGAGGUGUUCGUAUGGAGAUCCUUGCAAUCAAUAUCUUGAAGUUAUUCAAUGGGAUCAUGAGAUUGAUACCAGAUUGUGAUCAAAGCCGUCUCCGUAUAUCCUGCUGUUUGGAUUUUUGAUGGCCCAGCAUUUGUGGGAGAAAUGGUGCCUAGAGCCAAGAUAUUGUGAACUGAGAGAGAACUUGUGAAUAUGCCAGUCUUGUUCAGUGUGGUAUGGGAAACAGCCAUUGUCAAGAUUGAGGUUAAAUCUUUUUGUUGGGUAAAUUAGACGUGUUUGUCUGGAGGCAACAUUGCCUGUGAAAACCAAUGGUCCAGUAUUGAGCCUUGGCCAGUUGCAAAUGGUAAUUAGCAGGCAAGGUCUUCACCACAUUCUAAGACAUUGAUACAGGCAGUCAACCUCCCUGCUUCUUAGACAUUUUGUUGAACUUAUUGAAAAUUAUUACAGCGCUUUCUGUCAUGUAGAAGACUUGCCACAAACUGUAGUUAAUUGACCAGUUUGGGCAAAUCCUUUACGUGUUGGGAUGUGCUAAAGUUGCGUUUAUAUCAAAAUGAAGAAGAGUGAUGUGAUCCACGCUGACCUAGUACAGACAACUUGUAAGGCAGAGAAACAACAAGGAAGUUGAAGCCAGGUUUCAGUGUAAUGCAUUCCACAUGCCUGUAGUGGCUUGUGAAACAAUGUUUAUUUCUACUUCCAGAACAGUCAACAUGAAGCGCAUUUUGUGUGUCAGAAUACUAAAUAUUUGCCUUUUAAUUUUGAAUGUAAUCUCUGUCAAGUUGUAUGUAGUAUUAAUUGUGAGGACAUUUAAAAGCAGUUGACAGGCUGGUUUUUGUCUCUUCAUAUUUGUUUGAACCAAGGGGCAUACAGGAUGACAUCUGUUUAGAGACGGUGAAAGUGCACUUGUGAAGAGGAUUUUUUGUACAGCAUACCUUGGUAUCCGAAGGAUUUCCCACAGACUGCAAAUAAGAGUUCAGUCUUGGGAGGUCCUUUGGUUAUGAGUGUGUGCUCAUGUGACACUUGUAAGUGAAGGAAAGUCAACUUCUGGUUUUUCUGAAUUUCUUGAAGUAUUCGUGUUCUGACUACUGAUCAGUGGUUAGUGUCACAGUAUUAUUUCUGUAUUCAGCCUUAAAUUGCUCUGCAUCAUGACUGGCAAUAAAAUGGUGGUAAUUGCUCAGAUGUGGGCCUUUCAUGGAAAGUAUUUACCAUAUAAUUCAACUGCUGUACUCUCUCUCUCUCUCUCUCUCUCUCUCUCUCUCUCUCUCUCUCUCCCUCUCUCUCCCUCUCCCCCCCCCCCCUCCCCCUCUAUAUUCUUUAACCAUUUCAAUAAGAGCCUCUGUGCAUGGCCUGCAUGCAGUUACCUAGCACCUUAUUUGGUUGAAAACUAAUUGUUAACAAGACUUGAACAUGGUGAAACAAAUUCAGUCACCACUGUGAGCAGCUCACGGCCAUAUAGCACAUUUACUGGUCUCACUAGCUUUGAUAAACAUAUUGUUUUCCUCAAUAUAUAUUCUCUCUACAUUAAUUCAAUAACAUUUUUUCAUUUGUAUGAAAAUUUUUACACGUAUGUAGCAUUAUUUUCAGCCUUUAGAUACGCUGUUGUACUUUUUUGAGCCUAAUGUGAAUUUUGGAAUUUGUUGUCUGUCCUGUUCCAUCUGCUGUAAACUUCUCUAAUGGUAAAUGGAAGUUCUCAUUUUGGGAAUUGGCUAUUAACAGAUUUUGUUUCGGGAGUCCCAACCCCAUUCCUCACACUAUUCAUUUCAUAAGCUACUGUUUGUAAACUUCGUUGAUACUAAAUGGAAGUUUCAAAUUUUAGAUCAUAUUUAACCUUCCUCCUUAAACCCCCCCCCCUUCUUUCCAGUUUUUAUAAUUUAAUACUUUUUACUACAUUCAUGUUAAAAUUUCUAUGAAUUCUUACUUUUACAAGGUGGCUUUAUGGUUCCAUUUCUACACACGUUUUUAUAUCUGUUCAGUUUUAUCAUUUUAGAUUAACUGUGGGCUUAUGCAAGACACAGUUCUCAUCUCCGUUUUAAUUUACAUAGUGUACUCAAUGCAGACUGUGCACAUUUCGUAUGUACACACAGUUAGUGCUCUCUGUACAUAGCUUUCCUCAGUGCUAGGACCCAUAAAUUUGGGUAGCCAGCUUUUACUAAUUGCCAUAUGCAUACUGUUUUAACCCAGAUGCCAUGAUUGUGUUUUAAUAAAUGUAAGUCAACUUACACGUCAGCAAGACUCUUACAUUACAGGGCCAUUAUACUUGGGAUUUAAUCUACAUACCUGAAGUGCCAUGUUGCCGGAGUCUACAUCAAGGCUGUGAUUAUUUGUGUUCAUAAAAUGAGUGUCCCAUAUGAUCAGCCAUUUGAUUAUAUUCUGUGUACAUUAUCAACAUGUGAUGUAACAAGUGAGUGCACUUAUCUUAAAAUAUUUGUCUGUAACUGUUACUUUUUGUUUAAAAUACUUCUGUAACCACCAAUGUAACUUUUAGGGCCAUUAUAUGUUCUGAAGAAGACAACUUCAAAAUUGUCAGAACCUAGGUCAGGGGUUCCAGUAAGCUUUUAUUUGCAGCUGGGUGGCUGUAGUACAACGUCUCAAAAGUUCAUGCCAUAGAGUUGUUGAAUUUACAGCCAUGUUUAAGACUUUAAGAUGUCACAAUUUCAAACAAUAUUUCAUUUAUUUACACUGUAAUACUGUAGUCACUUCUGUAGCAUAAACAUUAAGAUGGUAAAACCAAAAGGAGUUAAAUUAUCAGUUAACAAAUGAUGUAUGCAACUGCUACCACCUUCAUGAGCUUCAGUAAGCAGUGAAGUAACCACUUUUACUAGUACUGAAGAAAUGCAAUUCAGAAACGCUAUUUCUUUCAAGUAUUCUAAAUAAGGUAUUAAUUACUGUACUUUCUGUCUUGAUAUAGAAAUUGUGUAA